This 72-nucleotide transfer RNA is filed under the name Saccoglossus kowalevskii. Its description in RNAcentral is "tRNA-Glu". It matches the Rfam family "tRNA". From Rfam's summary of the family: Transfer RNA (tRNA) molecules are approximately 80 nucleotides in length. Their secondary structure includes four short double-helical elements and three loops (D, anti-codon, and T loops). The record is from RNAcentral. Lineage: Eukaryota; Metazoa; Hemichordata; Enteropneusta; Harrimaniidae.
UCCCAUAUGGUCUAGUGGUUAGGAUUUGGCGCUUUCACCGCCAAGGCCCGGGUUCAUUUCCCGGUGUGAGAA